GAUGAACGCUAGCUACAGGCUUAACACAUGCAAGUCGAGGGGCAGCAUGAACUUAGCUUGCUGAGUUUGAUGGCGACCGGCGCACGGGUGAGUAACACGUAUCCAACCUGCCGAUGACUCGGGGAUAGCCUUUCGAAAGAAAGAUUAAUACCCGAUGGCAUAAUUCUUCCGCAUGGUAGAACUAUUAAAGAAUUUCGGUCAUCGAUGGGGAUGCGUUCCAUUAGGUUGUUGGCGGGGUAACGGCCCACCAAGCCUUCGAUGGAUAGGGGUUCUGAGAGGAAGGUCCCCCACAUUGGAACUGAGACACGGUCCAAACUCCUACGGGAGGCAGCAGUGAGGAAUAUUGGUCAAUGGGCGGAAGCCUGAACCAGCCAUGCCGCGUGAAGGACUAAGGCCCUACGGGUCGUAAACUUCUUUAGACGCAGAGCAAUAAGGUCCACGCGUGGACCGAUGAGAGUAUGCGUAGAAUAAGCAUCGGCGUAACUCCGUGCCAGCA
RNAcentral lists this ribosomal RNA (496 nucleotides) under uncultured bacterium. RNAcentral's name for it is "bacterial SSU rRNA". It matches the Rfam family "Bacterial small subunit ribosomal RNA", at positions 28 to 513 of the family's 1533-position model. The record is from RNAcentral.